This 29-nucleotide ribosomal RNA is filed under the name synthetic construct. Its description in RNAcentral is "16S RIBOSOMAL RNA HELIX 45 from synthetic construct (PDB 2R1G, chain F)". The record is from RNAcentral.
CAAGGUAGCUGUACCGGAAGGUGCGGCUG